This 4623-nucleotide long non-coding RNA is filed under the name Podarcis lilfordi (Lilford's wall lizard). Lineage: Eukaryota; Metazoa; Chordata; Lepidosauria; Squamata; Lacertidae. The record is from RNAcentral.
UACCUCUGCACAGCACUGCACUGGGUGCUGAAUACUAAUAAAAAGGGCCUCUGCAAUGAAGAUUCAGUAUUUGUUAGUUAAGAAAACUGGGACAUGCUCCAUUUAUGUCCUACUGAUUUCAUCGGGAGGGUUAAGUAUGCAUUUAACUUCCUCCAAUUGAAAUUAAUGCAAAUUAAAUACUUUAUUUUUUGCUGGAUUGUUUCCAUUUUUUUAAAAAAAUUGUUAUAGUACUGCACUUCAAGUGUAAUUGUACCCUCUUUGUUACAUAAGUUGGCCUUUGCGUUGAAGUCCUAGCUAUUGACAUAGUUGGUACAAUGCUGAUGAGGCUGAAAAUCUGUGACUUAGAUGUACCCCACUUUAGCACAUGAGCAAGUUUCCAUACAAAGCCAGCCCAGCAGUAACAGAUGGUCAGCUCUGCUCACCUGGGGGGCCAUUUUGCUGAGACGUUGAUGGAGGGCAGCGACCUGCCUCUCCACCGUGGACUUUCAGAAAGUCCAAUGGCCACAGCUAUACCACCUCCAAAGAAAUGGUUCCGAAAAUGAAAGCAGGAAAAGAAGCAUGGCGGAAGCGAAGAAACAUCAGAGAAAAUGGCUGUCUAAAGCAGCACGGACGGAACAAUUUGAAAGGCUAUAUUUUCUUUUAUGAGUUCUCUGCAGUCCCACACAUGGGGAUGCGCCUACACAAAUAGGAUUUUCCAUGCCCUGGAAGAUUUGUUUCUCUUCUGUAUUCCAAGAGACCUUCAAGGAAGGUAACAAUGUAAUAAAUUUAGCUUUCAGUUGUUAAAAACAGCACAAUAUAACAUCCAGAAUUUCAAAACAUCAAGAAACACAUAGAAACAUAGAGUAGCAUAAAAGAGGCACAAUAUGGCCCUGGCCAAACGGUGGCUUGUAAAUUGGAAUGAGUGGAACAAAUUUUCCUGCAAAGUAUUUGGCAAACUCAUCCUGAAAGGCUCCAUUGCAAUACCUCUUUGACCACCUAGAAAAGCUAUGUUGGGUGAUUCUGAGCAGAUACAGUGGUGACACAAAAGCCAUCUUCACCAUUAUCACUGUCUCACAGAUUAAGUUAUAAAAUGUGUCCUGGCCUCUGUUUUAUUCAAUCCAUUGUAAGUCUUCUGCUAUAACUCCUACUGUUUCAUCACCACCAGUUCCAUGGACUGCCGUAGAGCUAGCUUACCUCUACAUAAGAACAGGCUGCUGGAUUGCAUGUUACAUGGGGGGGUUUUGUGGGUGGGUGGGUGUAAACAGUGAGGUCAGAAGGAAAUGUAAUGCAGAUAAUUACAUAUUUAACAGUGACCUAUCACAAAACUGUUGGUUUGAUAAAAUGGAGUAGACAGAGUCAGCUUCUUGGUCUUUAAUAGGGAGCUGGCCCCUGUGUCCAUACCUCUUGUAUGGCCUACUGUUGCUGCUGAGUAGCUGUCCUAUUUAGGGGGAUGUCUGAGAGCAAUUGGAGGUCUGCCACCCAAGGCUUAUGUGUAGGACAUGUCUGUCCUAGAUGAACUGUAGAUUAUUGAUGAUAGGCUCAAGUGGCUUUGGCUUGGCUGCUGUGACAUCAAGUGGUAGUUUGUCAUUUUCUCUUCUAGAUCUGUUGUAUAGAAGAUUGGUACCUAAGAACAGUUUGGCUUCGUUGAUCUGAUUUUUCACUUUGGGUGUUUGAUGUGAAUUAUUUUAGCUGUGAGGCUCUGUCCAAUCCUAUGAAUCUGAAUGGAUGUUGUUGUAUCAUAGAGCUCAGCUGUAAACAAUGAACUCUUUAGUGUGCUCUGGGUGGAAGCUGGAAGCAUGUAUGUAUGAGUAACAGUCAGUACGUUUCCUAUAUAAGGAUGUGCUUAUAUGUCCAUUAAUAGUUGCACAUUCAUGUCCAGAAAGUGAACCUCUUGCACAGUGUGUUCAAGACUCAGGUUGAUGGUGAGGUGAUGUCCUAGUGGAACUGCACAAGUGAUCCCUUACCAUAAGUCCAGAUAAUAAAGCAUGCCGAAAUCUCAAAUGGACUCUCAUAUUCCCUGGCUGACUUUGACAGCUAUACCUGCAAAAAUUACUGUGGCAAAGUCCUCCCUAAAGAUGAUAUUUGAGGCAAAAGCAUCCUCAUGGACUCCACCAGCUGUGAUUUUCUCCAGGAGCAGCUUCCUUAUCCCCCUAUUUAGUCUGAUGGAGCAGUAUAGUUCCAUUAGAUUGACUGUGGGGUUUAGGGUUGUUUCCCUGUAACAGGUGUGUGUUCAGCAACACAUCCUGGCUUCUGUCCCUACAGUAGGAGAUUGUCUAGAAGGCCAUGAUCUAGGUUUUGGUUGUGCUCUCUGCCACAGUCAGAGAAGUGAACUAAGUGGGAAGGUGCUGUCUCUGCCCUCUCAUCAUGUAAAACUUGCUACUGCACUUAACUGGCAGGAUCCUGUGCUCCUAAUCUUCCAGAGAUAGGGUAGCCAAUGUGGUGCCCUUCAGAUAUUGUGGACAACAACUUCUACCACCCCUGUCCAUUGGCUAUGUUGGCUGGAUAGGAUGGAAAUUGCAGUCCACAACAUCUGGAGGGUAGCUCUCUUUGGCUGUCUUUUUUCCAGAGCUUUCUAGAAAGUCUCACCAGUAGUCUAUGCAGGUGCAUUCUCCUAUAUUCCAGCAUACCCACUUUUCAUUGUUCACACUAAAGCAAAGAAAGACUAAUUUGUCAAAUUACAUAACAUAUAUUUUUUGAUUAAAAUCACUUCAGCUGAUUUUAGGGUCUCUCUAAAAGGGUUCUUGGCAUUGGUAUGAUCAGUAAUAACUCUGGUAGCUUUUCAAUCUAAGACUGAUAAUCAAACUUCAAGAUUCAGGGCAUAAAUUCAUUGCCUUUGGGGAUCAGGAAAGAAUUUCUUUUACUUUUCCCAUGUAACUGCAUUGUAAAAUUUAGCUAAGUUCAUUGCAGAGACUUUUCACAAGCCACUGCAGGACCUGUAGCUGGACUAAUAUCCUGAUCCACAAGAGUAAUUUGAUGUAAUUUCUUUUACUAGAGAUGGCAAUAUAUUUCUCAGGACUAGAUGUAUAUGAGGGGAUGAUUUCUUUUCUAAACUGAAUUUUUAGUGCAAUAUUUUAUCAUGGAGGACUUUUUAUAGCAAUUAAAUUUUACAUUAAUUAACUAGAGCUCUAUGGCUCAAGUGUAAUUUAUUUAGUGGAAAAGAAGGAUAAGGGAAACUUAAAAUCUUUACUAUUGGGAGUUUGCCCAUAAAAUACACAUUUAAUCUGAAGAAUGAAGCAGGCUGACUGUUACAUUUCUGCUCCUAACAGUGACACUAUGUGGAUGAAGUCAAGAAUGCACAUAGAGGAUACAUUUAUGAGGAAACUUGUUUCUAAAGAUAGCUGCAAUGGAAAACAACCAUUUAUCGUCUUAGUCAAACAGACAUAACCUCCAUCAGAUGAAGUUUUAAAUAAUGUGACUCAAUCUGGAUAGUUAAAACAUAUCUUUUUUAUAUAAAAAAAAUAAGCAUAUGUCUCACAUACAUAUUUCUCACAGGAUAAUAAAGUGUUUUAUUCAUAACAUUUUAAAUUCCCUUGGUAUUAAGUAAAGCUUUCAUACUGAAGGAGCAAAUAAAUGAUUGACGCUGAUGUGUGCAAUGUAAUGCAUACACACAUAACAUGAAGAGAACGUGUGCAUUUCUGAGAGCCUGAGUCAUUGAGAAUCCAAGAGCAUUUUAACAGUACUCUUUAUUUUUCAAGGAAGUGAGUCCUUGCAUGUUCACAUGCAAAUCUUAAAGCUGCUAUGCAGAUGUAACCAGUGGAACCUGCAAAAAAUGUUGAGAUGUAUCUUCCUUCCUAACAGGAGUGCUUCUGUUCAGGGUUCUAGCUAACUAGUCUCUUCAGUUAGGACAUUCCACUCCUCCCCUAUUCUGAUACGCUCAAUCCUCAUUGAGCUGGAGGGUGCUUUUUUGUGUGAGGAUUGCUUGUCUUAAGUUGUCUUUUUUAAAGACUUCUUGUGCUUCUGCAAACUUUCAGGGCUUUCCCACAACAUGCUGAGAUUUCUCUUGUGUUUCUCAGUGGCCUCAUGUUGGCCGUGAUCCUGAUAGCACUCAUCGCCUCAACUUCCUGUUAAAAAUGAAAGAUAUACUACAUUUGCUAGAAAACAUAUUUGGACUAAAAAUGGACUUUGUUGCAAGGCUCAAAGGUGCUUUCAUAGUUGUGUGGGAAAUGAAGUGUCUCCUAUUAUGUUUUUAGAAAUGGAUCGUUCAGGAGUACUGUACUAAAAAUGACUUGAAAGCACAGCAUGGUAAGACAGUCUCCAUAAACACUGAUUCCUUGCCCUGGAUCUAAGGAGAUGUUCAAAACUUUGUUGAGAGUUAGCCGGAUAAACCUUUGCUGGAUGGCAAGAAUGUAAUACAAGGAAAGUUGUUCUAUUUGCAGUAGUGCAGAAAAAAGAAAAAAAAUGAUAAUUGAAGAAAAAAAUCUGAUGAUGUGGUUCUCUUAGUAAAUUGGGAACAAUGACCCAUGAAGGACUAUAAAGAAAGUGAAUGUCAAGAUAAUUUAUUAUUGUUACAUUAUCUAUCCUUCCCCUCCCCCCCUUUUUUUUUUACUUUAUCUUACUGAGUUGCUGUUAUCCUUCCAUGGAACCAAAUAUCCUAAACAUUAAUGAGUUCUUGCUUAAAUCUUCACUGCCAAUAAAAUUGCUUUU